This is a long non-coding RNA of Quercus robur (English oak), 395 nucleotides long. RefSeq lists it as uncharacterized. The record is from RefSeq and is a predicted model, not a curated record. NCBI's taxonomy places the organism in Eukaryota, Viridiplantae, Streptophyta, Magnoliopsida, Fagales, Fagaceae. The transcript is spliced from 4 exons.
CAGAUUUGUGUUGGUUAGUGUGGACUGAGGCUGCUUGUGGUUUUGGGAUUCCAAUUAAAUCCAUUCUUUCUUCACAUAAGAUUUGUGUUGGUUAGUGUGGACUGAGGCUGCUUGUGGUUUUGGGAUUCCAAUUAAAUCCAUUCUUUCUUCGCAUAAGAUCCUAAAACGGAGAUGGAAGACACAAACACAACGGUUCUUCAACUAUGUCCGGAGAUUGUACCCUUCAAUCAAUUCUUGAUGAUGGGGAGCCUAAUGAAGAGGAUGGGAGUUGUGUUACAAUUAUGGAUGAUUAAACAUUUUGUAUUAAUUUAGUAGCCUUUUUAAUUUCUUAAACUUGUUGGAUUAAUUUGUUGGUUUGUAAUUAUUUUAAGCCUUUUUAGCAUUUUGUAAUUUUU